GGGGGUGUACUGGUUUCGACUGAUGGUUUGAAGAGCUGACUGCAUGUCGAGGUUGAUCAGUUGGCCUCGUAAAAAGCUGAUCAAAAAAUAAAAGCAAAUAACGAACCUGAACUUGCAUUGGCAGCCUAAUUGAGUUGCCCGCGACUUGGCCGACGCCUGCUGAGUCAAGUCGCGACCAUAAUAGCAGGCUGGUCUCGCGACGGGUGUCCGGUCGUUGAGGCAAGAGGUUACAGGGCAAUCGGAGAGACCGGAUUUUGUCGGUCAAAGCCGCCUCUCCUAAACCAAAUGACCGACUAUGCAUGUAGAGGUUAGUUUAGACAGCUAUUAGGACAGGGGUUCAACUCCCCUCACCUCCACCA
This 359-nucleotide transfer-messenger RNA is filed under the name Verrucomicrobiales. Its description in RNAcentral is "Arctic95D-9 sp002698785 Standard tmRNA". It matches the Rfam family "transfer-messenger RNA". Rfam says of the family: Bacterial tmRNA, also known as 10Sa RNA or SsrA, is named for its dual tRNA and mRNA-like properties. Its role is to liberate the mRNA from a stalled ribosome. To accomplish this part of the tmRNA is used as a reading frame that ends in a translation stop signal. The record is from RNAcentral. RNAcentral also lists the same sequence under 2 other names. Lineage: Bacteria; Pseudomonadati; Verrucomicrobiota; Verrucomicrobiia.